AACAGGAUUAGAUACCCUGGUAGUCCAUGCCGUAAACGUUGGGCACUAGGUGUGGGGGACAUUCCACGUUUUCCGCGCCGUAGCUAACGCAUUAAGUGCCCCGCCUGGGGAGUACGGCCGCAAGGCUAAAACUCAAAGGAAUUGACGGGGGCCCGCACAAGCGGCGGAGCAUGCGGAUUAAUUCGAUGCAACGCGAAGAACCUUACCAAGGCUUGACAUGAACCGGAAAGGCCUGGAAACAGGUCCCCCACUUGUGGCCGGUUUACAGGUGGUGCAUGGUUGUCGUCAGCUCGUGUCGUGAGAUGUUGGGUUAAGUCCCGCAACGAGCGCAACCCUCGUUCUAUGUUGCCAGCGCGUUAUGGCGGGGACUCAUAGGAGACUGCCGGGGUCAACUCGGAGGAAGGUGGGGACGACGUCAAAUCAUCAUGCCCCUUAUGUCUUGGGCUUCACGCAUGCUACAAUGGCCGGUACAAAGGGUUGCGAUACUGUGAGGUGGAGCUAAUCCCAAAAAGCCGGUCUCAGUUCGGAUUGAGGUCUGCAACUCGACCUCAUGAAGUUGGAGUCGCUAGUAAUCGCAGAUCAGCAACGCUGCGGUGAAUACGUUCCCGGGCCUUGUACACACCGCCCGUCAAGUCACGAAAGUUGGUAACACCCGAAGCCGGUGGCCUAACCCCUUGUGGGAGGGAGCCGUCGAAGGUGGGACCGGCGAUUGGGACUAAGUCGUAACAAGGUAACC
Molecule: ribosomal RNA, 736 nt
Filed under: uncultured bacterium
Lineage: Bacteria
Description: bacterial SSU rRNA
Rfam family: Bacterial small subunit ribosomal RNA
Source: RNAcentral